Molecule: unclassified non-coding RNA, 536 nt
Filed under: Hevea brasiliensis (rubber tree)
Lineage: Eukaryota; Viridiplantae; Streptophyta; Magnoliopsida; Malpighiales; Euphorbiaceae
Source: RNAcentral
AACUGGGUUUAAAGGAGGUUUUGGUACCAAUUCAUUUAUGGUUGGUGAAGACUAUGGCAUGUUGGCUAAGUCAGUGCCAAUACAUGUAAGGGUUGCAAAGCCAGUAAGAUUGGCGCCCAUGAUGAAGAACGUCAAUGAAGGGAAGGGUCUUUUUGCACCUAUUGUCGUUGUCACUCGCAACAUAAUUGGCAAGAAAAGGUUUAACCAGUUUAGAGGCAAAGCAAUUUCCUUACACUCUCAGGUGAUUAAUGAAUUCUGCAAAUCAAUAGGAGCAGACUCGAAACAAAGGCAAGGACUGAUCAGGUUAGCCAAGAAGAAUGGAGAAAGACUUGGAUUCCUCGCUUGAGGAAAGGCUAUCAUCACCAUUUCCAUUUGAGAAGCUUCAAAUCCAUAUCUUAUUUUGUUAAAAGACUUUGAGAUGUAAAAGAUCUCUUCAUAUGCGUACCUUUGAACCAUAAUGUUCAUUAUAUUCCCACAUCAUUAGUCAUUUUAGUUGUAAUAAUACUUUGUCCUCAAAUUAAAGAACUAUUACUAUU